This 767-nucleotide ribosomal RNA is filed under the name uncultured bacterium. RNAcentral's name for it is "bacterial SSU rRNA". It matches the Rfam family "Bacterial small subunit ribosomal RNA", at positions 62 to 826 of the family's 1533-position model. The record is from RNAcentral.
UCGAACGGUAACAGGUCUUCGGAUGCUGACGAGUGGCGAACGGGUGAGUAAUACAUCGGAACGUGCCCGAUCGUGGGGGAUAACGGAGCGAAAGCUUUGCUAAUACCGCAUACGAUCCACGGAUGAAAGCAGGGGACCGCAAGGCCUUGCGCGGACGGAGCGGCCGAUGGCAGAUUAGGUAGUUGGUGGGAUAAAAGCUUACCAAGCCGACGAUCUGUAGCUGGUCUGAGAGGACGACCAGCCACACUGGGACUGAGACACGCCCCAGACUCCUACGGGAGGCAGCAGUGGGGAAUUUUGGACAAUGGGCGCAAGCCUGAUCCAGCCAUGCCGCGUGCAGGAUGAAGGCCUUCGGGUUGUAAACUGCUUUUGUACGGAACGAAAAGACUCUGGUUAAUACCUGGGGUCCAUGACGGUACCGUAAGAAUAAGCACCGGCUAACUACGUGCCAGCAGCCGCGGUAAUACGUAGGGUGCAAGCGCUAAUCGGAAUUACUGGGCGUAAAGCGUGCGCAGGCGGCUUUGCAAGACAGAUGUGAAAUCCCCGGGCUCAACCUGGGAACUGCAUUUGUGACUGCAAGGCUAGAGUACGGCAGAGGGGGAUGGAAUUCCGCGUGUAGCAGUGAAAUGCGUAGAUAUGCGGAGGAACACCAAUGGCGAAGGCAAUCCCCUGGGCCUGUACUGACGCUCAUGCACGAAAGCGUGGGGAGCAAACAGGAUUAGAUACCCUGGUAGUCCACGCCCUAAACGAUGUCAACUGGUUGUUGG